This 1914-nucleotide ribosomal RNA is filed under the name human gut metagenome. RNAcentral's name for it is "bacterial LSU rRNA". It matches the Rfam family "Bacterial large subunit ribosomal RNA", at positions 3 to 2007 of the family's 2925-position model. The record is from RNAcentral.
UUAAGCUAAUAAGAGCGCAGGGAGGAUGCCUUGGCAUCAGGAGCCGAUGAAGGACGCGGUAAGCUGCGAAAAGCUCCGGGGAGUGGCAAGCACACAUUGAUCCGGAGAUGUCCGAAUGGAGCAAUCCACAUGAGUGAAGCUCAUGUAUCAUAUACUGAAUAAAUAGGUAUAUGAGGGGAACCGUCUGAACUGAAACAUCUAAGUAGGACGAGGAAAAGAAAUCAACCGAGAUUCCGCUAGUAGUGGCGAGCGAACGCGGAAGAGGCUAAACCAGAGUCAGCAAUGACUUUGGGGUUUGGACUGCAUUUAGUAUCAAUGAGGUCUAGUCGAAGUACAUGGGAAGGUACAUCGAAGAGGGUGAGAAUCCCGUAGACGAAAGAUCAAGUUGGCGAGCAGUAUCCAGAGUACCGCCGGACACGUGAAACCCGGUGGGAACAUGGGGGGACCAUCCUCCAAGCCUAAAUACUACCUGAUGACCGAUAGCGCAUAGUACUGUGAAGGAAAGGUGAAAAGAACCCCGGGAGGGGAGUGAAAGAGAGCCUGAAACCCUGUGCUUACAAGCACACAGAGCACGUCAAAGUGUGAUGUGGUACCUAUUGUAGAAUGGUCCGGCGAGUUAUUUUAUGCAGCGAGGUUAAGGACUUAAGGUCUGUAGCCGAAGUGAAAGCGAGUGUUAAUAGCACGAAACAGUUGCAUGCAAUAGACCCGAAACCGGGUGACCUAUCCAUGUCCAGGCUGAAGUGAGGGUAAAACCUCAUGGAGGGCCGAACCGACUCCCGUUGAAAUGGUAGCGGAUGAGGUGUGGAUAGCGGAGAAAUUCCAAUCGAACCCGGAUAUAGCUGGUUCUCCCCGAAACCGUUUUAGGACGGGCCUCGUGUGAAGAUUAUCGGAGGUAAAGCACUGAAUAGCCUAGGGGGCGAGAGCCUACCGAAGCUUAUCAAACUCUGAAUGCCGAAUAAUCGUUUCACGGGAGUCAGACUGUGUGAGAUAAGUUUCAUAGUCAAAAGGGAAACAGCCCAGACCCACAGCUAAGGUCCCAAAGUGUAUUUAAGUGGAAAACGAUGUGAAGUUGCGUAGACAACCAGGAUGUUGGCUUAGAAGCAGCCACUCAUUAAAAGAGUGCGUAAUAGCUCACUGGUCGAGUGACUUUGCGCGGAAAAUUUAACGGGGCUAAAAUACACACCGAAGCUUGGGCUUGACGCUUUUGCGUCAGGGGUAGGGGAGCGUCGUGUAAGGGGCGAAGUCGUAUCGUAAGGGACGGUGGACUUUACACGAGUGAGAAUGCCGGAAUGAGUAGCGAGAAUUAUGUGAGAAUCAUAAUGGUCGAAAGCCUAAGGUUUUUGGAGGAAGGUUCGUCCGCUCCAAGUAAGCCGGGAGCUAAGGUCAGGCGGAAACGCGUAGCCGAUGCACAUACGGUUGAAAUUCCGUAGCCUCAGAAAGAUUUAAGCGAAGGGACACUUUGAAAGGACUGUUGCCGGGUGUUGGUUACCCCGGUCGUAAGGGAACGAAAUUAAGUAGUGAAGGCAGUCUGGACGGAGGCGAGAAAAGCUUCGUGUAUAUCUUAUGAGCCCGUACCGCAAACCGACACAGGUAGGUGGGAUGAGAAUUCUAAGACCAACGGGAGAAGGGUAGUUAAGGAACUCGGCAAAUUGUCCCCGUAACUUCGGAAUAAGGGGAGCCUGCGAAAGCAGGCCGCAGAGAAUUGGCCCAGGCGACUGUUUAUCAAAAACACAGCUCUAUGCUAAAUCGAAAGAUGACGUAUAUGGGGUGACACCUGCCCGGUGCUGGAAGGUUAAGAGGAGAUGUGAGAGCAUCGAAUUGAAGCCCCAGUAAACGGCGGCCGUAACUAUAACGGUCCUAAGGUAGCGAAAUUCCUUGUCAGGUAAGUUCUGACCCGCACGAAUGGUGUAACGA